Molecule: ribosomal RNA, 372 nt
Filed under: uncultured organism
Description: bacterial SSU rRNA
Rfam family: Bacterial small subunit ribosomal RNA
Source: RNAcentral
CGUAGGUGGCAAGCGUUGUCCGGAAUUAUUGGGUGUAAAGGGUGCGUAGGCGGGAAUAUAAGUCGGAUGUGAAAUGCCCGGGCUCAACUCGGGAGCUGCAUUCGAAACUAUAUUUCUUGAGUGAAGUAGAGGCAAGCGGAAUUCCUAGUGUAGCGGUGAAAUGCGUAGAUAUUAGGAGGAACACCAGUGGCGAAGGCGGCUUGCUGGGCUUUUACUGACGCUGAGGCACGAAAGCAUGGGGGAGCAAACAGGAUUAGAUACCCUGGUAGUCCAUGCUGUAAACGAUGAAUGCUAGGUGUGGGGGGUCUGACCCCUUCCGUGCCGGAGUUAACACAAUAAGCAUUCCACCUGGGGAGUACGGCCGCAAGGUUG